GAAAGCAAUGAGCUGAAUCUAGAAUGUGGGACAUGGUGUGUGGCACAGGACUUUCUCCUGAGCAGCACUAGAAAGCUCCUAUGGCUGAUUUAGGAGUGACGGAAGAGAUGGAGAUGGAGCUACUCUGCUCAUGCCUAUGAGAAAAGAAUUCCUGACUGUAUUAUGGUCUGGAGUGUGGUGCCAUUGUUUUGCAGGCCUAUGGACUCUCUUGUUUUGGACUGAGGGACCAAGAACAAGGAGUCUGGGGUCUACUGUCUUCGUUCGGGGUUGGGGAACCAGGUAGGGAUUUGGAGCAGAGCUCAAAGGGCCACUUGUAUGUGAAGUAAGCACUCAGAUUGGCUUUGACCG
RNAcentral lists this long non-coding RNA (348 nucleotides) under Canis lupus familiaris (dog). Its description in RNAcentral is "lncRNA (ENSCAFG00845022125.1)". The record is from RNAcentral. Lineage: Eukaryota; Metazoa; Chordata; Mammalia; Carnivora; Canidae.